GAUGAACGCUGGCGGCGUGCCUAAUACAUGCAAGUCGAGCGAACGGACGAGAAGCUUGCUUCUCUGAUGUUAGCGGCGGACGGGUGAGUAACACGUGGAUAACCUACCUAUAAGACUGGGAUAACUUCGGGAAACCGGAGCUAAUACCGGAUAAUAUUUUGAACCGCAUGGUUCAAAAGUGAAAGACGGUCUUGCUGUCACUUAUAGCUGGAUCCGCGCUGCAUUAGCUAGUUGGUAAGGUAACGGCUUACCAAGGCUACGAUGCAUAGCCGACCUGAGAGGGUGAUCGGCCACACGGGAACUGAGACACGGUCCAGACUCCUACGGGAGGCAGCAGUAGGGAAUCUUCCGCAAUGGGCGAAAGCCUGACGGAGCAACGCCGCGUGAGUGAUGAAGGUCUUCGGAUCGUAAAACUCUGUUAUUAGGGAAGAACAUAUGUGUAAGUAACUGUGCACAUCUUGACGGUACCUAAUCAGAAAGCCACGGCUAACUACGUG
This 497-nucleotide ribosomal RNA is filed under the name uncultured bacterium. RNAcentral's name for it is "partial 16S ribosomal RNA". It matches the Rfam family "Bacterial small subunit ribosomal RNA", at positions 28 to 507 of the family's 1533-position model. The record is from RNAcentral.